CAAACUUCUCACUUUGCCACCAAAGCCCU
This 29-nucleotide non-coding RNA is filed under the name Mus musculus (house mouse). Lineage: Eukaryota; Metazoa; Chordata; Mammalia; Rodentia; Muridae. The record is from RNAcentral.